RNAcentral lists this ribosomal RNA (253 nucleotides) under uncultured bacterium. RNAcentral describes it as "partial 16S ribosomal RNA". It matches the Rfam family "Bacterial small subunit ribosomal RNA", at positions 524 to 776 of the family's 1533-position model. The record is from RNAcentral.
GACGAACCGAGCGACCGUUAUUCGGAAUCACUGGGCGUAAAGGGCGCGUAGGUGGCCCGACAAGUCACUGGUGAAAGCUCGACGCUCAACGUCGAGUCGGCCAGUGAUACUGUUGGGCUGGAGCACUGUAGAGGCUCAUGGAAUUCCGGGUGGAGCGGUGGAAUGCGUAGAGAUCCGGAAGAACACCGGUGGCGAAGGCGGUGAGCUGGGCAGUAGCUGACACUGAGGCACGACAGCGUGGGGAGCAAACAGG